RNAcentral lists this ribosomal RNA (503 nucleotides) under uncultured bacterium. RNAcentral describes it as "partial 16S ribosomal RNA". It matches the Rfam family "Bacterial small subunit ribosomal RNA", at positions 29 to 523 of the family's 1533-position model. The record is from RNAcentral.
AACGAACGCUGGCGGCGUGUUUAAGACAUGCAAGUCGCACGGGAUAAGACAUGUAGUAAUACUUGUUUUAUUUAGUGGCGCACGGGUGAGUAACACGUGAAUUACAUGCCCUAUAGUGGGGAAUAGCCCAGGGAAACUUGGAUUAAUACCCCAUGGUAUCGAAAGAUUAAAGGUGGCCGCAAGGCUGUCGCUAUAGGAUUGGUUCGCGCCCUAUCAGCUUGUUGGUGAGGUAACGGCUCACCAAGGGAAUGACGGGUACCUGGUCUGAGAGGGAGAUCAGGCACACUGGAACUGAGACACGGUCCAGACACCUACGGGUGGCAGCAGUCGAGAAUAAUUCACAAUGGGGGCAACCCUGAUGGUGCAACGCCGCGUGGAGGAUGACGGUCUUCGGAUUGUAAACUCCUGUCAUCUGGGAGAAAGACCUGACGGUAAAUAGCCGGCAGGGUUGAUAGUACCAGAAGAGGAAGGGACGGCUAACUUCGUGCCAGCCGCCGCCGUAA